GACGAACGCUGGCGGCGUGCUUAACACAUGCAAGUCGAACGGAAAGGCCCUGCUUUUGUGGGGUGCUCGAGUGGCGAACGGGUGAGUAACACGUGAGUAACCUGCCCUUGACUUUGGGAUAACUUCAGGAAACUGGGGCUAAUACCGGAUAGGAGCUCCUGCUGCAUGGUGGGGGUUGGAAAGUUUCGGCGGUUGGGGAUGGACUCGCGGCUUAUCAGCUUGUUGGUGGGGUAGUGGCUUACCAAGGCUUUGACGGGUAGCCGGCCUGAGAGGGUGACCGGCCACAUUGGGACUGAGAUACGGCCCAGACUCCUACGGGAGGCAGCAGUGGGGAAUAUUGCACAAUGGGCGGAAGCCUGAUGCAGCAACGCCGCGUGCGGGAUGACGGCCUUCGGGUUGUAAACCGCUUUCGCCUGUGACGAAGCGUGAGUGACGGUAAUGGGUAAAGAAGCACCGGCUAACUACGUGCCAGCAGCCGCGGUGAUACGUAGGGUGCGAGCGUUGUCCGGAUUUAUUGGGCGUAAAGGGCUCGUAGGUGGUUGAUCGCGUCGGAAGUGUAAUCUUGGGGCUUAACCCUGAGCGUGCUUUCGAUACGGGUUGACUUGAGGAAGGUAGGGGAGAAUGGAAUUCCUGGUGGAGCGGUGGAAUGCGCAGAUAUCAGGAGGAACACCAGUGGCGAAGGCGGUUCUCUGGGCCUUUCCUGGCGCUGAGGAGCGAAAGCGUGGGGAGCGAACAGGCUUAGAUACCCUGGUAGUCCACGCUGUAAACGGUGGGUACUAGGUGUGGGGUCCAUUCCACGGGUUCCGUGCCGUAGCUAACGCUUUAAGUACCCCGCCUGGGGAGUACGGCCGCAAGGCUAAAACUCAAAGGAAUUGACGGGGCCCCGCACAAGCGGCGGAGCAUGCGGAUUAAUUCGAUGCAACGCGUAGAACCUUACCUGGGUUUGACAUGGAUCGGGAGUGCUCAGAGAUGGGUGUGCCUCUUUUGGGGUCGGUUCACAGGUGGUGCAUGGCUGUCGUCAGCUCGUGUCGUGAGAUGUUGGGUUAAGUCCCGCAACGAGCGCAACCCUUGUUCACUGUUGCCAGCACGUUAUGGUGGGGACUCAGUGGAGACCGCCGGGGUCAACUCGGAGGAAGGUGGGGAUGACGUCAAGUCAUCAUGCCCCUUAUGUCCAGGGCUUCACGCAUGCUACAAUGGCUGGUACAGAGAGUGGCGAGCCUGUGAGGGUGAGCGAAUCUCGGAAAGCCGGUCUCAGUUCGGAUUGGGGUCUGCAACUCGACCUCAUGAAGUCGGAGUCGCUAGUAAUCGCAGAUCAGCAACGCUGCGGUGAAUACGUUCCCGGG
RNAcentral lists this ribosomal RNA (1343 nucleotides) under uncultured bacterium. RNAcentral describes it as "16S ribosomal RNA". It matches the Rfam family "Bacterial small subunit ribosomal RNA", at positions 28 to 1378 of the family's 1533-position model. The record is from RNAcentral.